RNAcentral lists this ribosomal RNA (449 nucleotides) under uncultured bacterium. RNAcentral's name for it is "bacterial SSU rRNA". It matches the Rfam family "Bacterial small subunit ribosomal RNA", at positions 355 to 796 of the family's 1533-position model. The record is from RNAcentral.
UGGGGAAUUUUGGACAAUGGGGGCAACCCUGAUCCAGCAAUGCCGCGUGUGUGAAGAAGGCCUUCGGGUUGUAAAGCACUUUUGUUCGGGAAGAAAACGUUAGGGUAAAUAAUCUUAAUGGAUGACGGUACCGGAAGAAUAAGCACCGGCUAACUACGUGCCAGCAGCCGCGGUAAUACGUAGGGUGCAAGCGUUAAUCGGAAUUAUUGGGCGUAAAGGGUGCGUAGGCGGUUUGUUAAGACGGAUGUGAAAUCCCUGGGCUCAACCUGGGAACUGCAUACGUGACUGGCAGACUAGAGUAUGGCAGAGGGAGGUGGAAUUCCACGUGUAGCAGUGAAAUGCGUAGAUAUGUGGAGGAACACCGAUGGCGAAGGCAGCCUCCUGGGCCAAUACUGACGCUGAGGCACGAAAGCGUGGGGAGCAAACAGGAUUAGAUACCCCCGUAGUCC